GACAAUGGUCACACUGUCCUGAGAGUACCUGAUCCCGUCAGAUCUCGGAAGCUAAGCAGGGCCAGGCUGGGUUAGUACUUGGAUAGGAGACCGCCUUGGAAGACCAGGGCUCGCUAGAC
This 119-nucleotide ribosomal RNA is filed under the name Mastacembelus armatus (zig-zag eel). Lineage: Eukaryota; Metazoa; Chordata; Actinopteri; Synbranchiformes; Mastacembelidae. The record is from RNAcentral.